Molecule: long non-coding RNA, 2705 nt
Organism: Hipposideros armiger (great roundleaf bat)
Lineage: Eukaryota; Metazoa; Chordata; Mammalia; Chiroptera; Hipposideridae
Exons: 3
Source: RefSeq, a predicted model, not a curated record
CACCGCCCUCAUGGGAAUCACAACCCAAAGUGGCCCCACACAGGCAACAAAUUUCGGGAGCUAGUCACAGACCCAGACAGAUAAGAGGGCACGACCCCACAGGCUUCGCCCCGAGAGAGACCCUGGGAGUCAUGCAGCCAAGGAGGCCUUCUGGGAGGAGGCGGUGGGAUGCAUGGAAUUUGGUGUCACCCAUCGACCAGGUGUGAAGCUGAAGCCUAGACAGAGGCCGUGACGUAGAGAGAGGGGCAGUUCUGAGAUGUGUCCGAGAGCGUCUGGUCCCUCCCUGAGGCCCUGUCCCUGAGGCCCUGGGGACCGAGAGGAAAGCCUCCAAAACUACCAACCCCGCCAGCUUUGAGCACAAUGUGAGGGGUGUAAUGUGAAGUCCGUCCACUUGUCCGUCUUCCAGGGGAGUCGUGUUCUCAACCCUGUCGGCAUUUUUACCACGCAGUUAAGGCAAGUGUCACAUGUGCUGCCGGUAAGAAUGUCAGCACGCACAUGUUGCGUUCCCCACUUUUAACGACAAGCUAGCAUGCAUCGAAGAUGGUUCCUGUAUCAAACGCAUCGUCUGUGUCUUGAGCUCUGCUGUGCUCUCCUGAGAGAGGACACAGGCUGGAGAUUGCAGAGGACGCUGUUUGGCCCUUCUUCUGGUUUCACCUUGAGGAUGACCUUGGGCUGACCAUCAAGGCCUCCUGACCUUUCUUGCCAAGAGGCCGGUGGAGGACUAGUUAGGUCCGUGAGACUGGCUCCCCCUUUGACUUUGAAUAUAGGACAGUAACUGAAGGACAAGCAGAGCCCAUCCACAGCCAGCUCACCUGACUGGGUCUUGUCCACCAGCCGUGUCCCGGCCUGGCCAACUCAACUGGUCCUCGGAGAAGCCUUCCCUGACCUCCCGGGCCGCGGCCUCCUGCACUUGCUGUCUGCACAGCCCUAGUCAGAGGUGUGUGAUGGUUGGAGGUCUGUAUCCCACCCCCAGCGUCUCCUGAGGUCAGAGCCCUGCACCCCAGGCCUCGUGGGCACGCCGUGGGCACCUUACGCUUUGUUGAAAGAAGAGGCUGUAGAAUCUGAGGGCUUCGCCUCCAAUCUCAUCAGCUCUGCCGCAGUCCUAGGUGUGUGACAGUCACAAUUGUCCCCCCGCCCCCACACUCAGCACUGCUCUGCCCACCAGAGGACACGGGGGCUGUCCUGACGUCUCCCCUCUCACCUCCCUAUUGGAACUUGAAAUCCUGGGCACUUGCAUCUGCCAUGAUCCCAGAGGAACUUGGCUCGUUUACUGGUCACCUUAGUUUCAGGUUUGGGGCUGUUCUGUGCAUUAUUUGGUUUACCUGUCAGCAAACCCCCAGGCAGCUCCCAUCCUCGCGGUCCCCGUCCACCAGGCAGCAGGGCGUCCCCCAUCCGCUGUGCCCUGUGCUGCUGUCAGACCUCCACAAACCCGCUUGUGCACCAGCGCCCUCCCCUGCAAAGCAAGGACUCGGCUCCACUGGGUGGCUGAGACCACGAGCACACAGGUUCCUUCCCACCUGUGCGUCACACACCGGCCUUCCCAUUCCUUCAGCUUGCGGCUCAAGGCUCAGGGCCUCUUCACCGUCGUCUAGUCCAAGGCCACGGAGGCACAGAGUUGCUGAGUUGCCGAGCACGUGGCCGGCUCACACGGAUGUUAAGUGGAGCUCAGAUGCACCCCGAGGCCAGCACACUGGACGAGAGAGUGCUGUGGGGACAACCAGGCCGGGAGUGGCUAAGAUGAGAGCGUUGCAGGGCAGCCCCAGUUCCGGUAACUCAGAUCCCUGAAGAGCAAGGGGUCCAGGCUGGCUAAGCAGAUUGAACAGGACACGUGGGGUGACAAUGGAGAGGCAGGCAGGGGCCCGGAGUGCCGGUUGGAAGAAUUCCAGGGACAUGGGGCACCACUGAGGGAUUCGGCCCGGGGCGUGAUGUGGUCAGAGCCGCGUCUCAGACCCCUGCAGUGGUUCCUGGGUGCUCCUGCCAGUGGUGGCUCCAUGCGUCUCCCUCUCCCCAAGCUGCUUGGGAGCUGAGAUGAGCUUUUCCUUCUAAAUACCUCAGUGUCGCAAGUUAGCCCAUUUCCUAGUUAUGGAGGCUUAACUGGUGUUUGCUUUCAUCACGUGAUCAGACACCCCACAGCGGUGACCCUUACUGUGCGUCUGCCCCAGGGGGACCCAAAGCACCUGUCUCGGCCUUUUGUCACUUCCCAAUGGAAAGGUGACUGCACCCCGCUUUACGUGGGUUUGUGCUUGGAGACUUGAGCCCUUCCUUAAGAAAACCUUUAUGGUUCCUGCCGCUCGUGUCGUCAUCACAGAAGUGGUCCCCAUCCCAAGGCACUGAAAAAUGUUUAAUGUUGGGGCUUCCUUUCUUACACAGAAUCUUUGCCUCCUAGGGAUUUUUCUUCUCAAUAAAAAAGUGUUAUUUUUAUUAAAAUCAAAAAACAGUCAGCCUCCUCAUCUACUAGGUUGUCAGACACAAAAGGCUACAUAAGGCAGGAUUCCACUUAUAUGAAAAAUCCAGACGAGAUAAGCACCUGGAGACAGAGAGAUUGGUGCCCAUCAGGGGCUCGGGGGGAGGACGGGCUGGCUACUAGGUACGGGGUUUGUCUUUGAUGAGAACGUUCCAGAACUAUAGCGUGGCCGUGAUAUGACGUGGCGGCUGCAAGAGACGGCGAAUGUGCUCAACUGCCGCUAGAAUGUACACUUGGAAGG